Molecule: long non-coding RNA, 1316 nt
Filed under: Homo sapiens (human)
Lineage: Eukaryota; Metazoa; Chordata; Mammalia; Primates; Hominidae
Description: HSALNT0149582
Source: RNAcentral
CAUGGUCGCACCAGUGCACCCCAGCCUAGAUGACAGAGAACCUGUCUCAAAAAGUAAAAAGGAGAAAAUCUAAAAAGAAAUGUAUUAAAUCAAGACGUGUAGACAUAGAAAAUAAUAGAGACCCCUCUCUCCACAAAACCUUGUAUAUAUGGUCAAAAUGAUCUUCAACAAGGGUGCAAAGGCCAAACUAUGGAGAGGGAAUAAUAGCCCCCUUUAACACAAAAACGGUAUGAAGAUUUGCUAUCAACAUGUAAAAUAUAGAAGUCAGAAUUGUAGAUUAUACUAUAUUUUUUUAAAAACUCAAAAUGUUUAAGUCUGAAAGUCUUACACAAAAAUAUAAGGGAAAAAUAUCCAAAAUUAUGCCAUGGAAUUUGGCAAUGGGUUCUUGACUGCCAGCAGCCCCACAUCCCUGGAGCAUCCAUCCGCUCACCGCUGCCUGGUGCUGGGUCCUUCCACACCUGUCACACUGCUUUGUGCGGGGCCCUGAGGGGCACGAGCCAGGACACCAGGCCGAGCACAGGGCACAGGCCGGGCGUUCUCCGGCUAUUCGAGGGCAGGCUGUCCCCAUGACAGCCUCAGGCGCAGGAGGGAUGACGGCCUGAUUCGAGUCUGUGGAAGGAGGAAGAAGCUCGUUUCCUGAGCCAGCAGGGACACAGAGGCCAAUGCGGGACACAGGGACACAGGGGUGGAUGCCAUAAAAAUAUAUGGCAUAUAUUUUGAAACAUGGCCGCAAUUUGAAUAAUUAGAGUGUUAUGCUGAAACUGCACCAAAAUUUAUCAUUCCAGUGACUACAGGGAAUUUUUAAUAGUUGUUAUUUUUAUAAUAAAAUUAAACUUUAAUGAAAUAACUGACUUUCAAACUUCAGCAAGAGGACAAAUAUUCAGCCAGAGGUAUCAGUUCCCGGUUUCUGCUUCGGGUCCUCUCUGGUCUCCCACAGCCCCUCCUGCAUCACCCAGGUCUAAGGGGCCACCUGGCCUGGCCUGUGUUCCCUCGUCCCUCCCCUUCCCCACCCAGAUCCUGCAGCGCCUUCCUGGGGCAGGGGCGGCGAACCGUCCAGAGCGGGAGGCUCCCUCGCCCAGGGCAGCACAGCUCCGCCCCUCUCCACACCUGCCCAGCCCCUGGCAAAGGAGUCGCCUGGGCCUGGCCCGCUGCCCGCCCCCCAAUGCCUGCCCUGUGCCUGCAACUGCGACGCUGCCAACAAGAGGUGCCAGAGACCGCGGCGCAACCCGCCCAGAGAGCAGGGUCCCACUCAACUGGGAGCGGGGGCACGUCCCUUCCGCUUCUCAAUGGCAGGAUCAAUUACUUUCAAUCUCCAC